Molecule: transfer RNA, 62 nt
Filed under: Perna perna
Lineage: Eukaryota; Metazoa; Mollusca; Bivalvia; Mytilida; Mytilidae
Description: tRNA-Pro
Source: RNAcentral
UUAAAGAUAGUUUAAAUAGAACGGUAACUUUGGGAGUUUCAGGUGCCUUUGGGAUCUUUAAA